This is a transfer RNA of Ovis aries (sheep), 73 nucleotides long. It matches the Rfam family "tRNA". From Rfam's summary of the family: Transfer RNA (tRNA) molecules are approximately 80 nucleotides in length. Their secondary structure includes four short double-helical elements and three loops (D, anti-codon, and T loops). Lineage: Eukaryota; Metazoa; Chordata; Mammalia; Artiodactyla; Bovidae. The record is from Rfam.
UCCCUGGUGGUCCAGUGGCUAAGACUUCACGCUCCCAAUUCGGAGGACCCAGGUUUGAUCCCUGGUCAGGGAA